This 597-nucleotide ribosomal RNA is filed under the name uncultured bacterium. Its description in RNAcentral is "bacterial SSU rRNA". It matches the Rfam family "Bacterial small subunit ribosomal RNA", at positions 106 to 689 of the family's 1533-position model. The record is from RNAcentral.
GUGAGUAACACGUAGGCAACCUGCCCAAAAGAGGGGGAUAACACUUGGAAACAGGUGCUAAUACCGCAUAACCAUGAACACCGCAUGAUGUUCAUGUAAAAGACGGCUUUUGCUGUCACUUUUGGAUGGGCCUGCGGCGUAUUAACUUGUUGGUGGGGUAACGGCCUACCAAGGUGAUGAUACGUAGCCGAACUGAGAGGUUGAUCGGCCACAUUGGGACUGAGACACGGCCCAAACUCCUACGGGAGGCAGCAGUAGGGAAUCUUCCACAAUGGACGAAAGUCUGAUGGAGCAACGCCGCGUGAAUGAAGAAGGCCUUCGGGUCGUAAAAUUCUGUUGUCAGAGAAGAACGUGCGUGAGAGUAACUGUUCACGUAUUGACGGUAUCUGACCAGAAAGCCACGGCUAACUACGUGCCAGCAGCCGCGGUAAUACGUAGGUGGCGAGCGUUGUCCGGAUUUAUUGGGCGUAAAGGGAACGCACGCGGUCUUUUAAGUCUGAUGUGAAAGCCUUCGGCUUAACCGAAGUAGUGCAUUGGAAACUGGAAGACUUGAGUGCAGAAGAGGAGAGUGGAACUCCAUGUGUAGCGGUGAAAUGC